Molecule: ribosomal RNA, 657 nt
Filed under: uncultured bacterium
Lineage: Bacteria
Description: bacterial SSU rRNA
Rfam family: Bacterial small subunit ribosomal RNA
Source: RNAcentral
UCGAACGAGAAGCUAUCCUUCGGGAUAGUGGAAAGUGGCAGACGGGUGAGUAACGCGUGGGAACGUGCCUUUCGGUUCGGGAUAACUCAGGGAAACUUGGGCUAAUACCGAAUACGCCCUUCGGGGGAAAGAUUUAUCGCCGAAAGAUCGGCCCGCGUCGGAUUAGCUUGUUGGUGAGGUAAAAGCUCACCAAGGCGACGAUCCGUAGCUGGUCUGAGAGGAUGAUCAGCCACACUGGGACUGAGACACGGCCCAGACUCCUACGGGAGGCAGCAGUGGGGAAUAUUGGACAAUGGGCGAAAGCCUGAUCCAGCCAUGCCGCGUGGGUGAAGAAGGCCCUAGGGUUGUAAACCCCUUUCAGCGGGGAAGAUAAUGACGGUACCCGCAGAAGAAGCCCCGGCUAACUCCGUGCCAGCAGCCGCGGUAAUACGGAGGGGGCUAGCGUUGUUCGGAAUUACUGGGCGUAAAGCGCGCGUAGGCGGACUUUCAAGUCAGGGGUGAAAUCCCGAGGCUCAACCUCGGAACUGCCUUUGAUACUGUAAGUCUUGAGUCCGAGAGAGGUGAGUGGAAUUCCUAGUGUAGAGGUGAAAUUCGUAGAUAUUAGGAAGAACACCAGUGGCGAAGGCGGCUCACUGGCUCGGUACUGACGCUGAGGUG